CCCUUAGAUGUCCGGGGCCGCACGCGCGCUACACUGAAGGAAUCAGCGUGGCUUUCUCCCUGACCCGAAAGGGUUGGGAAACCCGUUGAAUCUCCUUCGUGAUAGGGAUUGGGGCUUGAAAUUGUUCCCCAUGAACGAGGAAUUCCCAGUAAGCGCGAGUCAUAAGCUCGCGUUGAUUACGUCCCUGCCCUUUGUACACACCGCCCGUCGCUACUACCGAUUGAACGGUUUAGUGAGGGCCUCGGAUGGGUCUCGGCCCGCUCUUUACCGGGCGGCGCCGUUGGUCGAGAAGACGCUCGAACUUGAUCGUUUAGAGGAAGUAAAAGUCGUAACA
This 334-nucleotide ribosomal RNA is filed under the name uncultured eukaryote. RNAcentral describes it as "partial 18S ribosomal RNA". It matches the Rfam family "Eukaryotic small subunit ribosomal RNA", at positions 1470 to 1796 of the family's 1831-position model. The record is from RNAcentral.